RNAcentral lists this ribosomal RNA (454 nucleotides) under uncultured bacterium. RNAcentral's name for it is "partial 16S ribosomal RNA". It matches the Rfam family "Bacterial small subunit ribosomal RNA", at positions 28 to 507 of the family's 1533-position model. The record is from RNAcentral.
GAUGAACGCUGACAGAAUGCUUAACACAUGCAAGUCAACUUGAACUUCGGUUUGGGUGGCGGACGGGUGAGUAACGCGUAAAGAACUUGCCUCACAGAUAGGGACAACAUUUGGAAACGAAUGCUAAUACCUGAUAUUAUGAUUAUAUGGCAUCGUAUAAUUAUGAAAGCUAUAUGCGCUGUGAGAGAGCUUUGCGUCCCAUUAGCUAGUUGGAGAGGUAACGGCUCACCAAGGCGAUGAUGGGUAGCCGGCCUGAGAGGGUGAUCGGCCACAAGGGGACUGAGACACGGCCCUUACUCCUACGGGAGGCAGCAGUGGGGAAUAUUGGACAAUGGACCAAGAGUCUGGUACAGCAAUUCUGUGUGCAAGAUGAAGUUUUUCGGAAUGUAAAGUGCUUUCAGUUGAGAAGAAAAAAAUGACGGUACCAACAGAAGAAGUGACGGCUAAAUACGUG